This 374-nucleotide unclassified non-coding RNA is filed under the name fungal sp. RNAcentral's name for it is "partial internal transcribed spacer region". The stretch from base 1 to 46 matches the Rfam family "Eukaryotic small subunit ribosomal RNA", at positions 1786 to 1831 of the family's 1831-position model. The record is from RNAcentral. Lineage: Eukaryota; Fungi.
AAGUCGUAACAAGGUCUCCGUAGGUGAACCUGCGGAGGGAUCAUUAACACGUUGAAAAACGUUUUCUACCAAACUAACGGAAACAAGAAGAGGAAGCAGACUGUGAAAACAGAAAACUUUCAAUUCAGCGAUUCUCCCCGGUUCGUCACUCGGAAACGAGCAACGGAUGGGCCAUCCUUUUCUUUGACCUUAAAACUCAUUCCCAACUGACUCGUCUGAGUGUAAACUUUUGUUUAUUCUCCACUCGAGUGUUCUCACUGCCUUAACAUGAGAGUUCUCGGUACUGGUUUUGGACUUCUGUCCAUCGUCUGGUCCGGUCUCUUCUGAUAUCAUAAUGCAAAGCACAACUCUUAGCAACGGAUAUCUUGGUUCUC